This 84-nucleotide transfer RNA is filed under the name Hypomontagnella monticulosa. RNAcentral describes it as "tRNA-Glu". It matches the Rfam family "tRNA". From Rfam's summary of the family: Transfer RNA (tRNA) molecules are approximately 80 nucleotides in length. Their secondary structure includes four short double-helical elements and three loops (D, anti-codon, and T loops). The record is from RNAcentral. Lineage: Eukaryota; Fungi; Ascomycota; Sordariomycetes; Xylariales; Hypoxylaceae.
UCCGAAUUGGUGUAGUGGCUAACAUUUGACGCUCUCAUGAUUCUAUGAUCCGUCAAGCCCGGGGUUCGAUUCCCCGAUUCGGAG